RNAcentral lists this ribosomal RNA (407 nucleotides) under uncultured bacterium. RNAcentral's name for it is "bacterial SSU rRNA". It matches the Rfam family "Bacterial small subunit ribosomal RNA", at positions 82 to 474 of the family's 1533-position model. The record is from RNAcentral.
CGGGAUGAGUAAAGUGGCGCACGGGUGAGUAACACGUAGGUAGUCUACCCAUUGGUGGGGGAUAACAUCCCGAAAGGGGUGCUAAUACCGCAUAAGCCCACAGCUUCCACGGAAGCAGGGGGAAAAGGUGGCGACCCGCAAGGGGCUACCGCCAAAGGAGGAGCCUGCGUCCCAUCAGCUAGUUGGUAGGGUAACGGCCUACCAAGGCGAAGACGGGUAGCUGGUCUGAGAGGAUGAUCAGCCACACUGGGACUGAGACACGGCCCAGACUCCUACGGGAGGCAGCAGUGGGGAAUCUUGCGCAAUGGGCGAAAGCCUGACGCAGCGACGCCGCGUGAGCGAUGAAGGCCUUCGGGUUGUAAAGCUCUGUGGAGAGGGACGAAUAAGGGCUGGCGAAUACCCAGCCU